RNAcentral lists this ribosomal RNA (393 nucleotides) under uncultured bacterium. Its description in RNAcentral is "partial 16S ribosomal RNA". It matches the Rfam family "Bacterial small subunit ribosomal RNA", at positions 523 to 918 of the family's 1533-position model. The record is from RNAcentral.
AUACGGAGGAUGCGAGCGUUAUCCGGAUUUAUUGGAUUUAAAGGGUGCGUAGGCUGUGCGUUAAGUCAGGAGUGAAAUGCCGUCGCUCAACGACGGAGCUGCCCUUGAUACUGGCGUGCUGGAGUACGGAUGCCGUUGGAGGAAUGAGUGGUGUAGCGGUGAAAUGCUUAGAUAUCACUCAGAACACCGAUUGCGAAGGCAUCUGACGAAUCCGUCACUGACGCUGAGGCACGAAAGCGUGGGGAUAGAACAGGAUUAGAUACCCUGGUAUUCCACGCCGUAAACGAUGAUGACUAACCGUCGGCGAUAGACAGCCGGUGGCGAAGCGAAAGCGAUAAGUCAUCCACCUGGGGAGUACGUCGGCAACGAUGAAACUCAAAGGAAUUGACGGGG